AAUAAGGCUUUUUUUGAAGCCAAAUUAUAUGAGCUAGAAAUCUUAAG
RNAcentral lists this non-coding RNA (47 nucleotides) under Tenacibaculum maritimum. RNAcentral's name for it is "Histone3". It matches the Rfam family "Histone 3' UTR stem-loop". Rfam says of the family: The mRNAs of metazoan histone genes lack a poly-A tail. 3' end processing occurs at a site between a highly conserved stem-loop (modelled by this family) and a purine rich region around 20 nts downstream (the histone downstream element, or HDE). Lineage: Bacteria; Pseudomonadati; Bacteroidota; Flavobacteriia; Flavobacteriales; Flavobacteriaceae. The record is from RNAcentral.